UACGUAGGGGGCAAGCGUUGUCCGGAAUUAUUGGGCGUAAAGAGCGUGUAGGCGGCUCGGUAAGUCUGCUGUGAAAGUCCAAGGCUCAACCUUGGAAUGCCGGUGGAUACUGUCGAGCUCGAGUCCGGAAGAGGCGAGUGGAAUUCCUGGUGUAGCGGUGAAAUGCGCAGAUAUCAGGAGGAACACCGAUGGCGAAGGCAGGUCUCUGGGCCACUACUGACGCUGAGAAGCGAAAGCAUGGGGAGCGAACAGG
This 253-nucleotide ribosomal RNA is filed under the name uncultured bacterium. Its description in RNAcentral is "partial 16S ribosomal RNA". It matches the Rfam family "Bacterial small subunit ribosomal RNA", at positions 524 to 776 of the family's 1533-position model. The record is from RNAcentral.